AACGAACGCUGGCGGCAGGCUUAACACAUGCAAGUCGAGCGCUUCACCUUCGGGUGGGGAGCGGCAGACGGGUGAGUAACGCGUGGGAACGUACCCUUCAGUUCGGGAUAACCCAGGGAAACUUGGGCUAAUACCGGAUACGUCCGCAAGGAGAAAGGUUUACUGCUGAAGGAUCGGCCCGCGUCGGAUUAGCUAGUUGGUGGGGUAAAGGCCCACAAGGCGACGAUCCGUAGCUGGUCUGAGAGGAUGANCAGCCACACUGGGACUGAGACACGGCCCAGACUCCUACGGGAGGCAGCAGUGGGGAAUAUUGGACAAUGGGCGCAAGCCUGAUCCAGCCAUGCCGCGUGAGUGAAGAAGGCCUUAGGGUUGUAAAGCUCUUUCAGC
This 387-nucleotide ribosomal RNA is filed under the name uncultured bacterium. RNAcentral's name for it is "bacterial SSU rRNA". It matches the Rfam family "Bacterial small subunit ribosomal RNA", at positions 29 to 440 of the family's 1533-position model. The record is from RNAcentral.